This is a long non-coding RNA of Erinaceus europaeus (western European hedgehog), 589 nucleotides long. RefSeq lists it as uncharacterized. NCBI's taxonomy places the organism in Eukaryota, Metazoa, Chordata, Mammalia, Eulipotyphla, Erinaceidae. The transcript is spliced from 3 exons. The record is from RefSeq and is a predicted model, not a curated record.
UUGAUUCAGCAUCAACUCUCAUUCUUCAUCCUUCGCAGACGCCCCUCCUCCUCCAGGGCAGGAAACCAGACACUUUGGGCUGACACAGCAUCUGCCCCUGACCUGCCUCCCAGGCUCACAGCCACAGGGCUCUGGACCCCCUCAGCCUGCUUGGCUGGGCACCAGCAGAGAGAACCCACCAGGAAGAACACUGGAGAGGAGCUGACAGAAAGCCCCUGUCCGUACAAUCCCUAAGAGCCGGAAACGUCCCCGCCCCCAGAGGGCGCCCGGCCAACCCGGAGGUGGCCUCUUGGUGACGUCAUGAGUUGCCGGGCAGAUUGGCGUGCCACCUGUGACCUACCGCCCCGCCCCGGAGAUCGUGCCGGGUAGGACCCGGACAGAAGCAGGAGGGGAGGGGCUCCGGGUGUCAGGGAGGAGGGGGGACACUCGGGAGUGGGGCUCCCCCCCUCCUACCUCCCCUUCUCUUCUUCCCCGGGCGCUGUCGCGAAGAACCAGCAGGUCCAAGUGUACCCCAAUAUCUUCGUCCCUUACAAAGGACCGAUUGCCUCUUGUUUGUUUUGAUUUUUAUUUAAUUCCACACUUGAGGCGA